Molecule: ribosomal RNA, 253 nt
Filed under: uncultured bacterium
Lineage: Bacteria
Description: partial 16S ribosomal RNA
Rfam family: Bacterial small subunit ribosomal RNA
Source: RNAcentral
UACGGAGGGAGCUAGCGUUGUUCGGAUAUACUGGGCGUAAAGCGCACGUAGGCGGCGCCGUAAGUCAGGGGUGAAAUCCCGGAGCUCAACUCCGGAACUGCCCUUGAAACGGCAGUGCUAGAAUCCUGGAGAGGCGAGUGGAAUUCCGAGUGUAGAGGUGAAAUUCGUAGAUAUUCGGAAGAACACCAGUGGCGAAGGCGACUCGCUGGACAGGUAUUGACGCUGAGGUGCGAAAGCGUGGGGAGCAAACAGG